GUCCGUGUAGCCGAAUUGGCAUAGGCACUGCGCUAAGGACGCAGGGUUUGCGGGUUCGAGUCCCGCCUCGGACACCA
This 77-nucleotide transfer RNA is filed under the name Ruminococcaceae bacterium R-25. Its description in RNAcentral is "tRNA-Leu". It matches the Rfam family "tRNA". From Rfam's summary of the family: Transfer RNA (tRNA) molecules are approximately 80 nucleotides in length. Their secondary structure includes four short double-helical elements and three loops (D, anti-codon, and T loops). The record is from RNAcentral. Lineage: Bacteria; Bacillati; Bacillota; Clostridia; Eubacteriales; Oscillospiraceae.